GUGCUUGACGGCGUGCCUAAUACAUGCAGUCGAGCGGACCGACGGGAGCUUGCUCCCUUAGGUCAGCGGCGGACGGGUGAGUAACACGUGGGUAACCUGCCUGUAAGACUGGGAUAACUCCGGGAAACCGGGGCUAAUACCGGAUGCUUGAUUGAACCGCAUGGUUCAAUCAUAAAAGGUGGCUUUUAGCUACCACUUACAGAUGGACCCGCGGCGCAUUAGCUAGUUGGUGAGGUAACGGCUCACCAAGGCGACGAUGCGUAGCCGACCUGAGAGGGUGAUCGGCCACACUGGGACUGAGACACGGCCCAGACUCCUACGGGAGGCAGCAGUAGGGAAUCUUCCGCAAUGGACGAAAGUCUGACGGAACAACGCCGCGUGAGUGAUGAAGGUUUUCGGAUCGUAAAACUCUGUUGUUAGGGAAGAACAAGUACCGUUCGAAUAGGGCGGUACCUUGACGGUACCUAACCAGAAAGCCACGGCUAACUACGUGCCAGCAGCCGCGGUAAUACGUAGGUGGCAAGCGUUGUCCGGAAUUAUUGGGCGUAAAGCGCGCGCAGGCGGUUUCUUAAGUCUGAUGUGAAAGCCCCCGGCUCAACCGGGGAGGGUCAUUGGAAACUGGGGAACUUGAGUGCAGAAGAGGAGAGUGGAAUUCCACGUGUAGCGGUGAAAUGCGUAGAGAUGUGGAGGAACACCAGUGGCGAAGCGACUCUCUGGUCUGUAACUGACGCUGAGCGCGAAAGCGUGGGGAGCGAACAGGAUUAGAU
This 767-nucleotide ribosomal RNA is filed under the name Bacillus paralicheniformis. RNAcentral's name for it is "bacterial SSU rRNA". It matches the Rfam family "Bacterial small subunit ribosomal RNA", at positions 33 to 783 of the family's 1533-position model. The record is from RNAcentral. Lineage: Bacteria; Bacillati; Bacillota; Bacilli; Caryophanales; Bacillaceae.